UACAGGGGGUGCAAACGUUGCUCGGAAUUAUUGGGCGUAAAGCGCGCGUAGGCGGCUACUUAAGUCGGAUGUGAAAGCCCCUGGCUCAACUGGGGAAGUGCACCCGAAACUGAGUGGCUUGAGUGCGAAAGAGGGUCGCGGAAUUCCCGGUGUAGAGGUGAAAUUCGUAGAUAUCGGGAGGAACACCGGUGGCGAAGGCGGCGACCUGGGUCGACACUGACGCUGAGGCGCGAAAGCUAGGGGAGCAAACAGG
Molecule: ribosomal RNA, 253 nt
Filed under: uncultured bacterium
Lineage: Bacteria
Description: partial 16S ribosomal RNA
Rfam family: Bacterial small subunit ribosomal RNA
Source: RNAcentral